UACGGAGGGUGCAAGCGUUAAUCGGAAUUACUGGGCGUAAAGCGCGCGUAGGCGGUUUGUUAAGCUAGCUGUGAAAGCCCUGGGCUCAACCUGGGAACUGCAGUUAGAACUGACAGGCUAGAGUACAGCAGAGGAUAGUGGAAUUUCUAGUGUAGCGGUGAAAUGCGUAGAUAUUAGAAGGAACACCAGUGGCGAAAGGC
RNAcentral lists this ribosomal RNA (200 nucleotides) under uncultured bacterium. Its description in RNAcentral is "partial 16S ribosomal RNA". It matches the Rfam family "Bacterial small subunit ribosomal RNA", at positions 524 to 722 of the family's 1533-position model. The record is from RNAcentral.